RNAcentral lists this long non-coding RNA (1290 nucleotides) under Marmota monax (woodchuck). Lineage: Eukaryota; Metazoa; Chordata; Mammalia; Rodentia; Sciuridae. The record is from RNAcentral.
AUUUUAUUUAUAAAUCAUGGAAAUCAGCAAGAUUUAAUGACCAGGUAUCGCAAUAUUUGGAAUGGAAGCUUGAAAUUUUGCCAAUAGGUUAUGCAUCAUGCCAUAGCCUAUUAGAGAAAUACAUUUUUUAAAAAUCCUAAAAAAUACAUAAAGGGAUAUAUCAUACAACAAAACUUUUUUAAAAAUUGGCACUCCUAUUUGGAAACUAGAUUUUAAAAAUCUAUUUUGUCCAUCUCAACCUGACUACAUUUUUCUCUUAUAUUCAAUAUAAACUUUUCAAACUAAAGAUCUAUAAAUAAUAAUGUAGAGAUGCCAAAAUGGAAAUUCCAGAAAGUGACUUUCGAAAAACUAAAAGCAGAGCCUGCCACCCCUUACAGAGAGAAAGUUUGUUUCAACAUGAGUUACAAAGGAAAGAGCCCAGGCCUAGAAAUGGGUCACUGAGUGUUUCUCUGUAAUGGGGUGGAGGUUUGGGAAGUUUUUCUCUUUUGCAGGAUAGGAAUUCUGCCCAAGCCACAGAUGGUGGCAACUCCUUCAGUAACUACUUUCAUCAGAAACCCCUUCAGCAACUACCUUCAUCAGGUUUCCAGAUCCAUCUCCUUGGGAGUGGUAACCUUGAUGAAAGCCACUUCCAGCAUUUUCUACCGAGAAUGGUGAAAUCCAGAGGCACUAAGGCACAUGCGGGCAGUUUCCCUGUUGGGGAGGUCUGUCCUAGAGCCCUGGUCAUUCCAAUCCACCUUACUUCACAGGAAUCGAGGCUCUGAUCACAGAUGUGCAAUGACCAGAUGUACGAUCCUGUAUAAACCUCCACAGUCUCUUUGGGUCUCAGUCUUGCCCAAAUGAAAACCAAGAAAAAAUGAUGUCAAACUCCCUUAAGACUUCAAAUGAAUUAUUCCUUGUCUCCCAUGAAUGUCCAGGUUUUGCUUCAGCAAAAUGCAUUUUGCACCUGUGGGUAUAAAUUUCAGGGAAAUAGGAAAAUGAUGAGCCAAAUUAAAAGCACAGCUUAUUGUGUAAAGGGGAAAAAAAAGCAUUCUAUAGUUUAUUCUAAUUGUUAAAGAAAGAAAAAAACUUAGGGAGAAAAAAAAUAGCCCAAAUAUUAAAACCUAGCUUCAGGCUUUAACAUUUCUUUAUUAACAAAAUCUGGUCAUUAAAUCUCAGAUAAGAAAACAAGCUUUGAUCUUUAGUUGAAAUCUAAGCAGCCCUGCUGCUAAAAAUAAUUAUUUAAAACAUUUUGUUUUCACUGUACUUUGAAUUUCUAUUUCUUAUGUUUCAAAACAUAACCUUUAAGAGUUU